CAGUCGCCGCGGUAAUACGUAGGUGGCAAGCGUUGUCCGGAAUUAUUGGGCGUAAAGGGCUCGCAGGCGGUUUCUUAAGUCUGAUGUGAAAGCCCCCGGCUCAACCGGGGAGGGUCAUUGGAAACUGGGAAACUUGAGUGCAGAAGAGGAGAGUGGAAUUCCACGUGUAGCGGUGAAAUGCGUAGAGAUGUGGAGGAACACCAGUGGCGAAGGCGACUCUCUGGUCUGUAACUGACGCUGAUGCACAAAAGCUAGGGGAGCAAACAGGAUUAGAUACCCGCGUAGUCCCUGUCUCUUAUAC
RNAcentral lists this ribosomal RNA (301 nucleotides) under uncultured bacterium. Its description in RNAcentral is "partial 16S ribosomal RNA". It matches the Rfam family "Bacterial small subunit ribosomal RNA", at positions 509 to 807 of the family's 1533-position model. The record is from RNAcentral.